This is a long non-coding RNA of Ctenopharyngodon idella (grass carp), 2928 nucleotides long. RefSeq lists it as uncharacterized. Lineage: Eukaryota; Metazoa; Chordata; Actinopteri; Cypriniformes; Xenocyprididae. The transcript has 5 exons. The record is from RefSeq and is a predicted model, not a curated record.
UUUCCGUCUUUCACCUAUUAAGCCCGUUUUCGCUUGCUUCGAGCCAUUUUCAUUAGCGUUAGGCUGUCUGCGAGCACAACAGGGACGGUUGUAAUCAGCAGCCAUAGACUGUGAAGUGGGAGAACCUAAACGUGACGUCAAUGCCUAGUAACUGACGCAGCCCUCAAAAAAAGAGAGAGAUUCUGCAAGCUUUAAUUAUUAUCGUUUGUGUACUGCUCUCAAGACAAAACAUAUUCCGCUCGCAGUGCAACUGAUUAUGGUUGUUUGUGCGCGCGAGUCCGUGUAUGUGUCUCUGUGUGAGUGAGUGCGCGCGUGCGUGCGUGUGUUUUCUUCUUUAUGAGCAGCGAAUCCGUCCCGAGUUUCCAAGCGAAAGUUGCAUGGAGACACACCGCGUAAGACGCGUAUAAUAAAGAGGAUGGUGAGCGACAUAAAGGAACGAGGAGAGCGGGAACAACUUGUGCUAAGAAAGAGACGUUAGAAAUAUUUAGCCCAUAAGAGAGAAGGGCAUUGAAGCAGUUCGUUUGAAAAAAAAAAAAAAAAAAUCACUGCAGCGAUGCAUCGGAGGCGAGUCGGAGCCCUCGCAUGUUGGAGUUGGAGAGCCAAAAUUAAUGUACAUUAUAUGCACUCCACGUAACGCUCCUGAGCGAUGUCUUUGUGAGUGUUUUUUUUUCUUACUGGGCGCUAAAAAUAGCAUCAGUGUUUGAUCGUGGUCCAGAAAUAGGAAGAGGGUAUCACUUGUAUAAAAAGGACUGCGAUUCUGAGAAACUUGGACGUGUUGCUGAGGAUAGAUAUGUAUCAAGGGCAGUAUUUGAUUUUCAUUUUGCUUGUUUUUGUGUGACAUGGUCACGUAUGAUGGUUUAAACUCAUGUCUGUGUUUUCCCCGCUUUCAGCAAGGGCUUGCUGCACUGAGGGCAGGACAAACCUUGAGGGAUCCAUCAUGUCAAGUACAGAAAGUGAAAUGAACGGCGCGAGCCACCGAAGGUUCCCAAACGGUCUUCAUCGUGACGUCACCGUCUUCAAAAUCUGCCGAUGACCAGACAUCUGUGCAAAAGCGAGCUGUGAAGCUGAACUGACUGCGUUCCUCAUGGAAGGAGAGGGACGAGCUGACAGGAAUGGAAAUUGACGGAGGAAAAGGAGGGAGUUGACCAAUAACCAGCGUAGAAAAGGCCUCAGACGUGAGAAAACCAUGAUGAGGUCCUACGGUUAAUCAUCUGAUCCAGGACAUUCACAUGUGAGAGGGAAAAAUAAAAAGGACAUGAAAAUCUGGGAAAACUUUACCUUGUAUCCUGCCCACAAGAUCAACGUCUGUUACACUGCUUUACACCUGUUAAUGGAUAUUCAGCAAGUUAAUUACUUUGUAGGAACACGAUAACACCGUCAGGUAUUUGCAAUAUUUGUCUGUAAACUAUCUGGGUUUUAAUAAAUGAGCUGGACUUUGUUUACGUUGUCAGACAUCUGUAACGUGUGAGCUGCUAGACGUAAGGGAAUAUGAAAAUGAUAACGUAGAAAGUGUUUGAGCUAAUAAAAAAAGUAUACUUGCACAUAAAUUAAUAUAUAUAUAGAUACAUUUGUUGUAACUCUUCACUCUUCAACUGUGUGACGCACGAGAGCGCUUGUGUUGUUUUAAUUCGCAAAGACAUGGAGGGAAACGUAGUCAGAUUUAAUCUUAUUUGUUCUAAUUAAAUAAUAGUCUAUAUGUAGCUUGAAAUGGAUUUGUUGGGACUGUGAUAAUAAGAACGUGAGCGCAGGAAACUUCCGCGUCAAGAGUGUGGAAAUUACAGCCGCAGCACACGGUUGUCGUUUUUUUAAGCUUGUGGUGCUUUAUAAUUUCGAGGGUUGUAUAUUUCUGGGAUCCUAUAGUUUGUUAAAAUUGUUGUAUGAAGCUGCAGACGGUUAAACGGAGAGUUUGUUGAUCUGUCAGGCGUUCGCUGUCCACUGCACGUGGUGCUGAAACGCGCUGCUGCUGCUGAGGUAUCACUCGCCCAAGUGAGCUUAUAACUAAAGAUUACGCUGUUUUUAUACGUUCUUUCCAUAUAGGAGUUUAUUAUAUCGUGUAUAUAUGUUAUAAUGUUUAAUAGCUCGUGUUUAGGCACCAUUUUGAGCACAAUUAAUGUGAAAUAUGGCUUGUUUGAAUUGUCAAAGGGUCAAAGGGCCUGGGUAGUGCAGAAAAAGGGAGAAGCAAAUAUGUUUAAAUUAAAAAAUAAAUAUUAUAGGCGUCGAGUUAAGCUUAAGAUGUCUGUGGUAGAUUUGUGAGUGUCGAGGAGGGAAAGCAGGGAUAUAUAAUGUGCUACGUGAGAGACUGAGAGGAUACGUGUGUGUGUGUGUGUGUGUGUGUCUGAGGUAAUGUCGAAAAUUGUAUGUUUUAAGGUUUAAUAAGCAGAUUAUAAUGAAGUAAAAUAUCUAGAUUUUGCAUCAGUUAUCAAAGUAUUAUAUUAUGUACAUUAUAGCAUAAUAAAGACAAAAAAUAACAGUGAUAGUGCACUAUGUAUCGGAUUAUUUGUGCUUUACGUGUCUUAUGUUUUUUUAUUGCUUUAUAAUUGUGCUAUUUUUCUGCUUUUCUGUUUUUGUAUACCAUGCAGCCCUACAUGUGCUUAACACUUUGAGUUGAAUUGUGUAAAAUGAGUUGCAUGUGGUUGCUGCAGUGUGGACGACGUAAGGACUUCUGCACUUCUGUGUAUUUGAAUAUAAUUUCUAUAUAGUGCACUGAGAAAAAAUAUGCUGAACUAACUAGCCUAUUUGACUAAUUGUUUAGCUCUUUUAUCACAUGAAAUAAGCUGUACGUACGGUGUAAGUAAUAUAUGGUGUGAUUAAAAUGUGUGUAUAUUGCUGGAAGUUUGUUGUUGACGUGACAGUUGUGAUGAAUCACGCAUUUUGUAAUCAAACUGUAUUUUCUGUCCUUUGUCAGUGUAAAUAAAAUGUUUGGCGUUA